This 494-nucleotide ribosomal RNA is filed under the name uncultured bacterium. RNAcentral describes it as "partial 16S ribosomal RNA". It matches the Rfam family "Bacterial small subunit ribosomal RNA", at positions 28 to 507 of the family's 1533-position model. The record is from RNAcentral.
GACGAACGCUGGCGGCGUGCUUAACACAUGCAAGUCGAACGGUGAAGCGCCUUCCUUUUUGGUGGGUGUGGAUGAGUGGCGAACGGGUGAGUAACACGUGAGUAACCUGCCCCCUUCUUCUGGAUAACCGCAUGAAAGUGUGGCUAAUACGGGAUAUUCUGGGUCUGUCGCAUGAUGGGUCUGGGAAAGAUAUUGUUUCGGUGGGGGAUGGGCUCGCGGCCUAUCAGCUUGUUGGUGGGGUGAUGGCCUACCAAGGCGGUGACGGGUAGCCGGCCUGGGAGGGUGGACGGUCACACUGGGACUGAGACACGGCCCAGACUCCUACGGGAGGCAGCAGUGGGGAAUAUUGCACAAUGGGCGCAAGCCUGAUGCAGCGACGCCGCGUGAGGGAUGGAGGCCUUCGGGUUGUGAACCUCUUUCGCCAGUGAAGCGGGCCUGCCUCGUUUGUGGGUGGGUUGACGGUAGCUGGAUAAGAAGCGCCGGCUAACUACGUG